GAUAACCGAAGAUAGUCGCGGGGUUCAGAGUAGGAUUGGUAAUGACUCUAACGUCACCACCACCGGGAGCCCAAGUAUCAUAUACACCACCGAAAAACAUGGCUUUGAACACUAGUAGUAGUGCUCCACAGCCCAAUAAAAUUAGGUGAUAUCCAAUGAUAUUGGUCAUUUGGUUUUUAUCUUUCCA
Molecule: antisense RNA, 187 nt
Filed under: Gloeocapsa sp. PCC 73106
Lineage: Bacteria; Bacillati; Cyanobacteriota; Cyanophyceae; Chroococcidiopsidales; Chroococcidiopsidaceae
Description: Antisense RNA which regulates isiA expression
Rfam family: Antisense RNA which regulates isiA expression
Source: Rfam by way of RNAcentral